Zalophus californianus (California sea lion) is the source of this 824-nucleotide long non-coding RNA. RefSeq lists it as uncharacterized. The transcript has 4 exons. The record is from RefSeq and is a predicted model, not a curated record. Lineage: Eukaryota; Metazoa; Chordata; Mammalia; Carnivora; Otariidae.
GGGAAGGGCGGCUUGGCAUCGGGACCGGAACCCGAGGCCGGAGCUACUCUGGGCUCGGCAGCCUUGCUCUCCGCCCAGGUCGCACCCUCCCUGGUCUGAGGCUUCGCUUCUGAAAACGCGCUUUACCGGAUUUGCGGGGUGUUUUUCAUUUAAGGAGCUCGAGCUGCCGACGAACACAGCCUCCUCCCUGCUCCUCAUGGUCCUCGGCCUCAUCCACCAAGACUGGACUCGCCUCACAGCUGUCGAGCAUUCUGGGGCACAGACCCCACCUCCAUGCCUUUGCCAUCUCCCGCCCCAACCCCGGGACCUCGUGCAGGUUCUCAAUAAAUGGAGCUGAACUGAGUGAAUCAGGAAGCGACACCCCAGGAGGAGAAAUUGCUACAGGAGUUCCAGCACUGCACCUUUGCACCUCACCGCCCAGAAGCAAAGAGGCUCGCACCCCCCCACCCAUUGAUCAGUGUCGCAGAUGUCCUGGUCCCCAUAGGAUCUGGUGGAUUCACAGUCAUGUUUGGAAGAAGAGGGUCCUCCCGCCAGAAUCACCUCUGUGUUGGCCCAGCCCGGGGCCACAUGACUCCAGAAAUGCUCAGGAGAAAGGGGACCUGGGGGCAGGAGGCCAGCCAAAGAUGGGCUUCGAGGGUCACCUUGGGAGCAGGGGACUCCCAGCCCACCCAGGCAGCCAUGGCGCCCAUCCCCUGUGCGGAGGUAAAGGCCAGGCCUGGGGAGACCUGCAAGCCAGGCAGACCCAGGCCCACCCGCGCCCAGAGAAGGCUCCCAGCCCUGCCUGCAUUCGGUGCCCUAGGAUGAGUUCUGCCAGGCUCUGCUCA